RNAcentral lists this ribosomal RNA (484 nucleotides) under uncultured bacterium. RNAcentral describes it as "partial 16S ribosomal RNA". It matches the Rfam family "Bacterial small subunit ribosomal RNA", at positions 30 to 507 of the family's 1533-position model. The record is from RNAcentral.
AUUGAACGCUGGCGGCAGGCCUAACACAUGCAAGUCGAGCGGAUGAAGGGAGCUUGCUUCUGGAUUCAGCUGCGGACGGGUGAGUAAUGCCUAGGAAUCUGCCUGGUCGUGGGGGCUAACGUCCGGACACGGGCGCUAAUACCGCAUACGUCCUGAGGGAGAAAGUGGGGGAUCUUCGGACCUCACGCUAUCAGAUGAGCCUAGGUCGGAUUAGCUAGUUGGUGGGGUAAAGGCCUACCAAGGCGACGAUCCGUAACUGGUCUGAGAGGAUGAUCAGUCACACUGGAACUGAGACACGGUCCAGACUCCUACGGGAGGCAGCAGUGGGGAAUAUUGGACAAUGGGCGAAAGCCUGAUCCAGCCAUGCCGCGUGUGUGAAGAAGGUCUUCGGAUUGUAAAGCACUUUAAGUUGGGAGGAAGGGCAGUAAGUUAAUACCUUGCUGUUUUGACGUUACCAACAGAAUAAGCACCGGCUAACUUCGUG